Long non-coding RNA from Carcharodon carcharias (great white shark), 538 nucleotides. RefSeq lists it as uncharacterized. The transcript has 5 exons. NCBI's taxonomy places the organism in Eukaryota, Metazoa, Chordata, Chondrichthyes, Lamniformes, Lamnidae. The record is from RefSeq and is a predicted model, not a curated record.
CUCGAAUCUAUCCAGCGAUCGCCACAAAGUUGAUCUUCAUCAAGAGUUGAUGUCUCUGACAAAAGGUCCUGUUCUGCGAAAGUGAAAGUAAGGAGCAGAGAGAAAGGCUCCAAGCUUCAAGCUUAAAGAGAUAAAUGGUUAUGAGAAGCCAGAACAUCCAAAGAGACAACUGAAGACAUUUGAAAUUAUGGCUCAACAUAAGAUUAUAUUACACUGCCUGUUGCUGUUGCUCGUCUGUCAACGUGCAGAAGUUGAAGUUGGUCGGCCACAUAGUUCAAAUCCUCCUCUUUUGGCAGAAGAUACUCCCUUAACAGAAGACGGUCAUAUUGAAAUCCAUCUCAACAGAUUGAAAAGAAAUGAAACUGGGACAACACCAAGAACAGAAGAACAAUGACUAAGGAGAUGCUGAUGCUGAGAUCGAUGCGUGGAUUGAUGAGAAUGGACAAAAUCAGAAACAAACACGUCAGAAGAUCAGGGAAGAUUGUGGGAGCAUCAAGAGAAGUAGCUGAUAAGAAUUUGUUGUGGAGAGAGAGAGGAA